RNAcentral lists this small nucleolar RNA (123 nucleotides) under Prolemur simus (greater bamboo lemur). Its description in RNAcentral is "Small nucleolar RNA SNORA63 (ENSPSMG00000022694.1)". It matches the Rfam family "Small nucleolar RNA SNORA63". From Rfam's summary of the family: E3 belongs to the H/ACA class of snoRNAs and is involved in the processing of eukaryotic pre-rRNA and has regions of complementarity to 18S rRNA. Lineage: Eukaryota; Metazoa; Chordata; Mammalia; Primates; Lemuridae. The record is from Rfam by way of RNAcentral.
AUGCAGGUACUGUUACAAUGUAACUGAAGUGUUUUAUUGUCACUCCCCCUGCUUAAAGUAUUUUAUAUAUAACUAUUUCUAACUCCAUUCCAUAGUAAGACAGAGAUGCUUGGUAUCAAACAU